This 521-nucleotide long non-coding RNA is filed under the name Trifolium pratense (red clover). Its description in RNAcentral is "long non-coding RNA (TPRA_LNC011640)". Lineage: Eukaryota; Viridiplantae; Streptophyta; Magnoliopsida; Fabales; Fabaceae. The record is from RNAcentral.
GUUUUAGGUGGUUUCUCCUUGUGAGAUUUGGUUUUGUUUUCAGGUUUUAACCUGUUUUCCUCCUUAUGUAUUUCUUGUACCUAAGGUGGUUUUAUGAAUAUGCUGUUUCAAAAAAAAAAAAUCAGUUUUGGCAACUAGAAUGGGAUUGUAUAGGUGUGUUUUCUAUUAUCUGAUUUCACUACUAAUGUGUUUGAAUUGAAUUAAUCACAAGUACUAGUAUUGUUUAAUUCAAUUCAAGUACUCAAAGGUCGUUGAAUUGAAUUACAGAUAUGAUUUGGACGAAAGACGGCCCCAGAGGGAGGUAGAUAUCUUGCUCUGUGAUUUCUUUUCGCAACUUUCUCGUUUUCUAUGAUUUUGGAUUCUAUGAUUUUGAUUUUUGUCUUAUAUUUUAAGUUUGCAUCUUUCUCAUCUGAAUCAUUUAAUUUCUUUUCCUUAUUUGUGUUACCUAAUUUAAGCUUCAUAGCUUCCUCUGAAUUGAAGAAGAAUCGUUUAAUUUGUUUUUCCCUUUAUGUGUUACCUAG